This is a non-coding RNA of Doryrhamphus excisus (bluestripe pipefish), 2220 nucleotides long. Lineage: Eukaryota; Metazoa; Chordata; Actinopteri; Syngnathiformes; Syngnathidae. The record is from RefSeq and is a predicted model, not a curated record.
ACAACUAUAAGAUAGAUGGGUUUUUUUUUACCAUGUUGACAUCAAAUUAUGCACAAAUUAUUCCAAACAUAUAAGAUAGAUGCUUUGUUUUUACCAUGUUGACAUCAAAUUAUGCACAAAUUAUUCCUAACAAACUGUGACCUGUGUUCUGCACCACCACAAAUGAGAUAAAAGGCACAUAUAAAAGGACAUCAAAGCGUUGCAUUUAUGUAAGACAACACCAAGGCAACACUUUCGCCCCUCCUCUUAUACCUCCACUGACUGACCAACCUUGGCGGGCCGGUGGGCUCCCAGUAGCGGCAGAACAGGUGCAAUCCAUCGGCGUUGACGAUAUGCUGGAGGUCGCUGUAUGGAACUCCCUGCGGACUCCGCCGAGGAGAAGCUCCCGGCUCGGGCAUGGAGGAAAGGGGGGGCUCUGCCGGAGAGAGCAGCCACACGUCAGGUCCACCUGAAAGUGAAGCACGGCGUCAUGGAUUGUGGAGAAGACGCAAGACUUAGUCACUUUGUCGUUGAAGAAACCACCAGUGUGCAGAUUAUCCACCACGGCGCCUGGGGAGAGACACUUCAUUCAUUAAUUAUACCCGAUUUUAUGUAAUUUGUUUUAUUCUUUUCAUGCAAUGUUGUGAACCUACUUUGACAAGAAGCGAGUGCCACCUCGAUACCAAUUUCUCCGUAGUCUUUGAUAAUCUAAACCAGAGAAAAGAUUUAGAUAGAUAGACUUCCUUUAUAGUCAUUGCACAAUAAUAACUGUGAAAUUGCCAAUGAAAUGUCAUAAUUUAUUAUUAUUUUAUAAUUUUAUAUAAUUUUAUAAUUUAUUAUUUAUAGUUCAACUUGGUAAAGGAAGUUCCUUGUUCUUUGUUUUCCUCUGUAGGACUUUUUUGCCCAUCAUUCAUAAUCUUUAUGUGAAACAUGAACACAUUUCUUUACCUUUUCUGUGCAUUAUAACAUGAGAAAACGAGUUAAUUUCAGCUAGCUUACAAUGCUGUCAUUGGGAUAUCUCGCUAAUCGCUUGUUUCGCCGCUCUCAAUUUCGCAUUUUUUACUUGAGGACUGGAGCACAAGACACGUGCUGGAAGACACAGCCAUCCCAAUGAGAGCGGACAUGCUGUGUCCUGAAGAUGACGGUAAGCAUUGAGAAGACAAUGGCGGCGGCGAGUCCCAGGUCAGGGUUCAACAGCACGGUGAGGAUGAAAGUGGUGAUCCAGAUCACCUAAAAUGAAGAGAUGGUUUUCUGGCGCCUUCAAAGGGAGGCCUGCCUCUAACUUCCUCCUGCAUGAAGUCAUGAAGUCAGCCAUAGCAUAUCUGAGUCUUCUCCCAUCCCAUGUGGAAGUGGGUCGCGGGGGUGCUGGAGCCUAUCCCAGCUGUCUUCAAGGGAGAGGCGGGGUACGCCCUGGACUGGUGGCCAGCCAAUCACAGAGCACAUAUAGACAAACAACCAUUCACACUCACAUUCAUACCUAUGGACAAUUUGGAGUGGCCAAUUAACCUAGCAUGUUUUUGGAAUGUGGGGGGAAACCGGAGUACCCGGAGAACAUGCAAACUCCACACAGAGAUGGCUGAGGGUGGGAUUGAACUCGGGUCUCCUAGCUGUGAGGUCUGCGCGCUAACCACUCGACCGCCAUACAGACAUAAGCAAAAAUUAAAUGAUAUAUUAGUGAAAAAGAAAUUUCAAAAGUGCAUUUUCCCCACUUGGCUAUUGUAGUAUUGUGAAAGGAGGCUGAACACUCGCUUGCUCGGUAGCCACAGGUUGCCAACCCCUGAUCGAGUUAAUAAAGUGGCAAGAAAACGGAAUGUUUUUGGAAUGUGGGAGGAAGCCGGAGCACCCGGAGAAAACCAGGUCGGUGGUCAUAACAUGGGGAGAACUCCACACAGAGAUGGCCAAGGGUGAGAUUGAACUUGGGUCUCCUUGCUGCGAGGUCUGUGCACUAACCACUUGUCCGCCAUGCAGUCCCUAUUCUCUAACUAAAUGAAAAUUCCUAUUGAAUCCUAUAUUGCAGAAAUUAAUUUAAUGAGGUCAUGUGUGGACCCAGUUACACAAACAAGUGAUGACUAUAGUGUGUGUGUGAAUGUUUGUAUAAAACUGUUCAAUUCCGUGACUGACUACAAUUUAUUGUACUCACCAUGUCUAGUUUAUUGGUCCUCCACAAUGCAGGUAUAUCCAGGAAUUGUUUCAUCAUACCAUGCAAGUUCACGUAGACGAUGGCGGCCAGAACUGCCUGUG